CACGUAGGAUUCGAACGUUAUCCGGAAUUACUGAGCGUAAAGCGCGUGUAGUCGGUUUAUAAAGUUGGGUGUUAAAUCUCCGGGCUCAAACCGGAGUCGUCGCCCAAUACUACUAAACUACAGGACGGUAGAGGGAGGUGGAAUUCCGGGUGUAUGGGUGAAAUGCGUAGAUACCCGGAGGAACACCAGGGGCAAAGGCGGCCUCCUGGGCCGUACCUGACGCUCAGACGCGAAAGCUAGGGUAGCGAACGGGAUUAGAAACCCCGGUAGUCCUAGCCGUAAACGAUGUAGACUUGGUGUUGGUGGUGUGAAAUCCAUCAGUCCCACAGCUAACGCAGUAAGUCUACCGCCUGGGGAUUACGACCGCAAGGUUAAAACUCAAAGGAAUUGACGGGUCUCCGCACAAGCAGCGGAGCGUGUGGUUUAAUUCGAUGCUACGCGAAGAACCUUACCUGGGUUUGACAUAUAGGUGGUAGGGAGCCGAAAGGUGACCGACUCUUCGGAGAGCCUAUACAGGUGAUGCAUGGCUGUCGUCAGCUCGUGCCGUGAGGUGUCCGGCUUAGUCCGGUACCGAGCGCAACCCUCUUUGUAUGUUAUUCGUGUCAUCCGGGACUGCCGGUAUAAAGUCCGGAGGAAGGUGAGGAUGACGUCAAGUCAGCAUGUCCUUUAUAUACAGGGCUACACACACGCUACAAUGGUCAGUACAAUAGGUAGCAAAACCGCGAGGUGGAGCCCAUCCCAAAAGCUGGCCUCAGUUCGGAUUGUAGGGUGCAACUCGCCUACAUGAAGUUGGAGUUGCUAGUACCCGCGCGUCAGCAAUAGUGCGGAGAAUACGUUCCCGGGGAU
RNAcentral lists this ribosomal RNA (846 nucleotides) under uncultured bacterium. Its description in RNAcentral is "SSU rRNA". It matches the Rfam family "Bacterial small subunit ribosomal RNA", at positions 524 to 1381 of the family's 1533-position model. The record is from RNAcentral.